ACUGGUGUAAUGAACAGAAUCUGCUUUUAGUUAAUAACUGGAAUCUGUUCUGGGAGCAUCCUAGGUUGUUUCGUCCUGAUGGCCUGCACCCCAGCAGCCUCGGAGCGGAACUGCUGUCAGACAACAUCUCGAAGGUGCUACACACCAAGUGACUGCCUACCCGUGCUUACUUGAAGACAGUGAGGGGAGCAGCAUUGGAGAGACAGUUCGCUCCAUUCUCCAAAGAAUUGGGGAGAACAGCCUGUGAUGAAUGUUUUCGUUGAAAGGGUCAAAAGAUAUUGCCGAACGAGCCCAUGGACGUGAAUAUACUGUUGCCAGUUGCAGAGAGGCCAUCGGCAGCUUACCUAAAAAAUGCCCCAGCCAGGAAAGGUGGCAAGAAACAUAAUGAGUGUUUAUGAUUAAGUCUAGAAUUUAAAUCUACAACUUCUGUGAUUCUUUUUCUUUUAUCAUUCAAACAAAUGUGCCAUUGUGUAACAUUGUUGACUGAUUCAUUAGUUUUUAUAUCCAUUUGAAAAGCAAAAACCUUUCCACUAUGCAUAUAACUGAAAAUGCAUACAUACUCCAAACCUUUUGUGAAUAUUGAUGAUUGAUUUGGAGGUUUCAAAUUAUGAGUGAAUUGUGGUUCACUUUCUUGCGUUCAGGAAUGUGUAGCUAAUGUCUGUAGUUUACUAAUUCCGAAAUUGUUGGUUAAGACUGCAUCAUAUAGUACAUGUGUAUACCAAUGAAAUGAAAUGUCAUAUAUUCAGAUAUAUCCACUGUCUGUUCACAGCAGAGCUAUGUGGGAUCUCCAGUGCAUCCUACAAGAAUUGGGUGUGAGUCCAGUUCAGAUUCAAUUUUGGAAUCUCAUUCCUCUCUCUCGCGUGACAGCCUCCAAACAGUACAAUUCUAAUGAGCUUGUAUAUACUGAGAAUUCCAUUUGGAUUUAUUUGAUGUCUGAUUAAUAAAAAAAUUUCUUUGAUUAGCAAUACAUGAGUAUAUCUGGCUAUUCACUUUGUCUGCAUUUACUAAAAUUCAUGCAUGUUUAUU
Molecule: long non-coding RNA, 1026 nt
Organism: Ictalurus punctatus (channel catfish)
Lineage: Eukaryota; Metazoa; Chordata; Actinopteri; Siluriformes; Ictaluridae
Exons: 3
Source: RefSeq, a predicted model, not a curated record